GGUCAAGCGAAGAAGAGCGCAGGGUGGAUGCCUUGGCACUAAGAGCCGAUGAAAGACGUGAUAAGCUGCGAUAAGCUGCGGUAAGGAGCAAAUAUCCAUUGACCCGCAGAUCUCUGAAUGGGGAAACCCACAUGAGAACACCUCAUGUAUCCAUACGCCAAUCCAUAACGUAUGGAGGGGAACCCGGUGAACUGAAACAUCUAAGUAGCCGGAGGAAGAGAAAGAAACAUCGAUUCCGUAAGUAGCGGCGAGCGAACGCGGAAGAGCCCAAACCAUGGUGCGUGCACCAUGGGGUUCGGACUGCAUAAUUGAUUCAAUGAUCCUAGCAGAAUGGUUUUGGGAAAGCCAGCCAAAGAGGGUGAAAGCCCCGUAAGCGAAAGGAAAGUUGACAUGGCAGGAUCCAGAGUACAUCGAGACACGUGGAACCUUGAUGGAAGGAGCGGGGACCACCCCGUAAGGCUAAAUACUACUUAGUGACCGAUAGCGCAUAGUACUGUGAAGGAAAGGUGAAAAGGACCCCGGGAGGGGAGUGAAAGAGAACCUGAAACCCUGUGUUUACAAACUGUCGGAGGGCUUUAUAUGCCCGACGGCGUACUUUUUGUAGAACGGUCCGGCGAGUUGUGCAUACUGGCAAGGUUAAGGGAUAAAGUCCCGGAGCCGCAGGGAAACCAAGCCUUAAGAGGGCGAGAUAGUCAGUGUGUGCAGACCCGAAACCGGGUGACCUAUCCAUGUCCAGGUUGAAGUUGCCGUAAAAGGCAAUGGAGGACCGAACGCACAUCCGUUGAAAAGGGUGGCGAUGAGGUGUGGAUAGCGGAGAAAUUCCAAUCGAACCCGGAGAUAGCUGGUUCUCCUCGAAAUAGCUUUAGGGCUAGCCUCGUUUUAGUCUGGUGGAGGUAGAGCACUGAAUUCCCAAGGGGGCGUCAAAGCUUACUAAGGGAUAUCAAACUCCGAAUGCCAUACAGAUGAUGAACGGGAGUCAGACUAUACGAGAUAAGUUGGAUAGUCAAAAGGGAAAGAGCCCAGACCCGCAGCUAAGGUCCCAAAGUGCAUGUUAAGUGGAAAAGGAUGUGGGAUCUCUAAGACAACUAGGAUGUUGGCUCAGAAGCAGCCAUUCAUUCAAAGAGUGCGUAACAGCUCACUAGUCGAGAGGUCCUGCGCCGAAAAUGUCCGGGGCUAAAACAUGCCACCGAAGCUUGGGAAUGACAUAGUCAUUGGUAGAGGAGCAUUCUUAACGCGAAGAAGCAGUACCGGAAGGAGCUGUGGAGUGCUAAGAAGAGAGAAUGCCGGAAUGAGUAGCGAGAACAAGGUGAGAAUCCUUGUGGCCGAAUAUCCAAGGUCUCCAGGGUAAAGCUGAUCUGCCCUGGGAAAGUCGGGACCUAAGGUGAGGCUGAAAAGCGUAGCCGAUGGACAACAGGUUGAUAUUCCUGUACCGCAUGGUAACAGAACUGUGGGGACACGGGAGGGAAACAUGGGCCGGAAAUGGAAAGUCCGGUACAAACGGGGUAGUCGCACAGCAGGCAAAUCCGCUGUGCAUGAGACGAAGCCGUGAUGUGGAGCGAACUAAAGUAGUGAAGCAUGUGCCCCCUCCUGUCGAGAAAAGCCGCUAUUGUUUGCCAUGCGCCCGUACCGUAAACCGACACAGGUGGAUGAGGAGAGAAUCCUAAGGCCGGCGGGAGAAGCAUUGUCAAGGAACUCGGCAAAAUGACCCCGUAACUUCGGGAGAAGGGGUGCCCACGCAAGUGGGCCGCAGAGAAUAGGCUCAAGCAACUGUUUAGCAAAAACACAGGUCUAUGCGAAACCGUAAGGUGAUGUAUAUGGGCUGACGCCUGCCCGGUGCUGGAAGGUUAAGAGGAGAGGUUAGCGCAAGCGAAGCUUUGAAUCCAAGCCCCAGUAAACGGCGGCCGUAACUAUAACGGUCCUAAGGUAGCGAAAUUCCUUGUCGGGUAAGUUCCGACCCGCACGAAAGGCGUAAUGAUUUGAGCGCUGUCUCGACAAUGCACCCGGUGAAAUUGAAGUACCAGUGAAGAUGCUGGUUACCCGCGCCAGGACGGAAAGACCCCAUGGAGCUUUACUCCAGUUUGGUACUGGAGCUUGGUAUUGCAUGUACAGGAUAGGUGGGAGC
RNAcentral lists this ribosomal RNA (2122 nucleotides) under Eubacterium ramulus ATCC 29099. RNAcentral describes it as "bacterial LSU rRNA". It matches the Rfam family "Bacterial large subunit ribosomal RNA", at positions 1 to 2154 of the family's 2925-position model. The record is from RNAcentral. Lineage: Bacteria; Bacillati; Bacillota; Clostridia; Eubacteriales; Eubacteriaceae.